Molecule: non-coding RNA, 17 nt
Filed under: Mus musculus (house mouse)
Lineage: Eukaryota; Metazoa; Chordata; Mammalia; Rodentia; Muridae
Source: RNAcentral
GGGCUGAAAAUUCUAGA